RNAcentral lists this long non-coding RNA (221 nucleotides) under Salvia miltiorrhiza (redroot sage). Its description in RNAcentral is "long non-coding RNA (SMIL_LNC008900)". The record is from RNAcentral. Lineage: Eukaryota; Viridiplantae; Streptophyta; Magnoliopsida; Lamiales; Lamiaceae.
GGAUCCUCUACGUCGGGCUGGCGACUCUAAAACUAGCGCUUGGUGGGAGGCAACCCACCGUGGUUUGGUUUUUGUUUUUGUUUUUCUUGUUCUUUGUUUUCCGUUUUUGUUUUGGUGUUUCCUAAGUUUUUGGUUGCUUGUGCGGAUACUUUGAUUCUUGGUGUUCAUGAUUUUUCUUUUCAGCGCUGCAAUUCUUUUCUAACUUUGCCGCCAGCGCUGCC